Patiria miniata (bat star) is the source of this 1809-nucleotide long non-coding RNA. RefSeq lists it as uncharacterized. Lineage: Eukaryota; Metazoa; Echinodermata; Asteroidea; Valvatida; Asterinidae. The record is from RefSeq and is a predicted model, not a curated record. The transcript is spliced from 3 exons.
GGAGCACUGACUGGAUGGCUGACGAGGCUGCUACAGUCGGUGUGGAUGAGAGGACAUGACCCCAAUUUCAAAACAUCAUCCAUGCUGACAAAACCAAGGAACCGGAAGCAGGGAGGAGGACCCACUGAUGACCCUGCUUGCUGGGCUUCCCAUUACUGCUUCCCGAGGACCUUCUGCAACUGAACCAGAUGGAUUCUGCAACUGGAUGUAACAUGCUUGACAUAGAAGAGAGUCUUACAUGUUGACUUUAAGAGGAUGAAGCUUCUCCACAAAUGAAUGCCGAGGAACCAGAAGCUGGGAGGUCCGACAGAUGACCGACCCUCCUUGCUUAGUAAGACAUUACUAAUUCUUGAGGUGCAAGAAAGAGACCAAGAACAUGAGGACCACCAAGCUUGGAUGAGACUGGACAAUGACGAAGCUGAUCUCUUAUGGACAAGGAUGGUCUCAUCAGAAACCAAGAACCGGAAGAAAGAAGGAAGGAAGACCAACAGAUGAACUGAUGACCCUGUUUUCUGCGCUUGCCUUUACCAAUUCCUUAAGUUAGUUUUACUCAAGGAACAAGGAAGAAUAAAAAGUAAAAUUUAGAGGAAGUCUCAUUUACAGUGAACAUUUUGCGUGUUGGCGGUAGUGCUAAAGCCCCAUGCCAAUUUGCCAAUGAAACAAAAACACUGUUGCCAUUUAACUUGAUAGGGCAUUUCUUUUCUUCAAAGAUAACUAAUUUAAGUAAAUACAAGAGUUUUAAACACUUCCCAAAAAAUUAGGAUGUUUGAGAAAUUUACAAAUUUAAGAUGUCCAUGUAACUAAAAUGGGUUAUUUUCUUUACAAUUUUAAAUCGAUUAGAAAAACUCAAGAAUUUUAUACAUUUUGAAAAAUUAAAGAAUCACUGGGAAUUGUUAAGGAAUUUCUAUGUACCAAUAUGUUGGAAAAUUUAAGGACUGUUGAAGACCUCUCCCCCUCACUUUUAUUUCACCUACCUUAAAAAGUUUAAAUGGUUCUUCUUUUUUCCCCUCGGAAAACUCCUUAAUGCAUUGCAACAGGUUACUGGCACUCAGAUUACAUUGUGUAUAUCCUUUUGUAUUGUCUGUUUAAUUGCACGUUUUCACUACUAACUUAUUUUAUUUUGUUUUGUUCACUUGGUGUAUUUUGGUGGCUUUGCAUGUCUUUUUAUUUUACUUGUUAAAUUAACCCACAAAAGGAUAAACGCAAUGUAUACCGAGUGCUGAACUUGCCUCACCAAAAAUUGUGUUCACAUAAUAGCCAAAUUAAAUAAGAUAAAAAGUGCUGAAAAUAUUUCAAAACAUGAUCUCUUUAAGUAUCUAAUUUUUUUAAAGUGUGUGUGGGGGGGGGGGGAGAUAUCCCCUAGCUUUUAUGUUCCUUUUUGGGUUAAACAGAUCAGGUGCCAUUUUAAUUGGUUUUUGGAAGCCAAUAGGCCUAUAGGAGCAUCUUAUAAUAAUUAUUUCGAUUUGUUUGGAAGCAACUAAGUACGGACAUUACUUGAAUAAAACAUUUGGGUACGCCAACAAUUCUGAUAGUUGAAUGCUAAGACUUAAAUAAAGCUUUUAAUACAACACAAAAAAAUAGAAAAAAAAAAUAUUAGAUGGUAUUAAAGCUGGUCCUUUUUUUGUGAAUUAACAAAUUAAACAAUCUGAAAUAGUUUUUGUGGAAAAUUGUGAAUUUUUAAUUUCUCAAACUGUUUCCUCAUCUGGAAUUCGUUAUCAGUAUUUGUUUUGUAAGGAAUUUGUUUAAAAACAAUUUGUAUGUCAAUCAGGUGAAAAGAAUAAAAACUGAAUGAAAUGAGACCAUUAAUAA